GGGGUAGGUUCACAUGCGGUAGAAACCUAUUAUGUAAGGUGAAGCCAGGCCAUGCAGGGUGCUGAGGCAGCGGCCGGCCAUGGGAGGAGCCUGGCAGAGGCCUGGGCGGGAAAGACCCGAGAAAGGAGGAGGAGGAGGCCGGUGGGGAGGGCAGGAGAGAGGCAGGCGCCGGGCAAGGGCAGGCUGGCGUGCUCGUGAAGGGCAGAGGCUCUGACAAGAGGUUAGCUGCAUCCGGGGUGAAGUGGAAGCCGCUGCAGGGUUUUCAGCAGAGAAAUGACAGGUUUGAUGUGUGCUUUAAAGAAACAUGUCCUUGGCUGCUUGGUGGAGAGAUAAAGAGAAGAAACAGGGAGACCACGAGAGGACGAUGACAGCUUCGACUGGGGCUGUGGCGGCAGAGGAGACAUGCACGGACGCACAGACGCCCCAGCUUCCCUCCUGCUUCCUAACUGGGCCAGUGGUGCCACUAGCCUGGGGACUGCGACUCUGAAGAAAGCCAGGUCCUGAGAGGUCCAGAGGAGCAAGAGGGCUGAGGCAACUGCCCUGAGGACCUGGGACUCUACAUUCAGCUACAUGACCAAGACAGCCUCAACCAGAUUCCCCAGUUCCUGAUUUAAAAAUAAAUACUUGGGAUAUUCUCCACGACAUUUCCCAAACUGUAUUCCAUGAGAAGGGGUCUGUGGCCAAAUAUGUCGGGGAAACUGUAGACAUCAACCUCCUCUUGCAGAUCCACAGUGUACGAGGGCAUAUUAAAGGCUCUGGAAAGGACUGCAGUGAAGGAACCUGCUUAACUAGCUUUGUUUAACCAGUGAGUGCUCCUGAAACUUACUGUGCACAUCACCCUCCUUAAGAAUUCGUGUUGCAAGAAGUCCACGUUGGGAAACACUGUUAUAUUACUACCAGAAAAGAAAUACCCUGCCUAUUCAGCCAGUCCCCAGCAGCCUGGAUCCUGUUCCUCCAGUUUGAUACUACACCUCAGCUCACUCCCUGCCUGCCUCCCUCCCUGCAGGUAGAAACAGCAAGGCAUCGCAGACCCCAGAGCCUGGAACCCACAGGACCUGGGCUCACUGCGCACCAGACCAACAGAGUGUCCGAUGAUGGAAAACAGCUCCCUGACAGACUGUGGAUAAAAAUUUAUCAACCCUAAGAUGUUUAACUGCUCCCAGUUCAAGCACUUUCAAAGAUUCACUCAAAUUCAUUUUUAGGGUUACAUUAUAAGUCUCUGAAAAUCCUACUCUUGUAACAGCAGUACCGACAGCCCUCACUUAAUCACUCUGGUAGAUCAUAUUUAAAAACAAAAUAGAGCUAAAAAAAUUCAUUCCAUGUUAGUGAGCAGAUGUCUAGCCCAUUUGCAAUUAAUACGACCCACUUCCAUACAAUCAGACUGCUUAAAAUUCCUGGAACAAGAUGUAAAACUGAAGAUGCAAAUGUUCUGAUUUUAAUGAGAAUGAAUGGAAGCUAUGAAACCCACUCUCCCUUUGAGGGUAGGUACAAUCUACAUGUAAGUCCCAACUGCACACUCAAUUUAUCAACAAAACAAUCAUCUGAUAAAGCCUGUGUGAGAGAAGAAAGCAGAACUGGGAAAGUCAGGAGUGUAUUUGGAAAGCAUUUCCUACCAAGAUUAAAUGUUAUCAAAGCCAUCAUCCUUUUAAGGAGCUUUCAAGAAAACUUGACUCAUUUCAGUACAUUUCCCCCAGUUACCUACACGUACUAGGAGAUUCUUGUACUCCUUUGAGUCCAUGAGAUCUUGUCAGUGGACAGUGCAGAGGGUGACAGAAAAGACCAUGACUUUGGUGCUUCCUGGAUCACCCUUCAGAUCCCAGCUCCAUCACUUCACAUGACCUUGAGCGAGUUAGUUACCCUUCUGAGCCUCAGUGUUCUGUCUAUACGAUGGUGAUAACAUCUUGUGUGGGUGUGAAUAUCAAAUCAACAGGGGUGUAUUAAAGACCCAAACAGAGUUCCAAGCACACGGCAGGCAUGUGAAGUGGCAGCGAUGAUUAGAAAUACUAUAUUCAUGGUGGCAGGGGCAUACUUGUCUAGGAUCUAAAGACAAGUCUCAACUUUCACUUUUCUUUCUCCCUGCUUGGAAGGCCCUCCUGUUGGCUUACCGAAACCUUACCCCUUCCUCGAUGGUCCAGUUUGGAAGUCUCUCCUGUGGUCUGUAUUUUCACUAGGCAGCGGUGGGUUUCUCAAGGUGUGGACCCCACAACUCCAUCUGGAUCAGACACCCCACCCCUGGUCACCCUAUUGGCUCUGGGCCGGAACUGACAUUCCCAACAAGCACCAGAGCCUAGCCACUCUAUGAACGCUGGGGAGACACCUAACUCGGGCGAUGCUCGGUCGGCCUCUGUUGAAUGAAACAGCAAAAACCAAGAACUUGAACUCUCACAGCACUUACUUGUGCCCCUUGUCUUCAUUCAUUUGUUCCAUAGCUAUGAAGGGAGUACCUCCUCUGUGCCAGGCACAGUUCUAAGCCUGGAAAGUUGACAAGGACCACGAAAGAACCGGACGACAUAUCUUCCUGGGGGAAUGCACAGUUUCAUGGGGCAUUUGCUCCAGGAGGAGAGUAGAAGGGCAGGGGACAGGCACGAACACUUCUUUUAUCUUUCGUGACUGGCACAAGCCCUGUGGAAACCAGACACUCAGAAACGAUUUGAUGACAACCAUGAACAAAAUCAGCAGGGAUUCUGGAUGUAUUUCUAAGGAAGAACCCGCAGAAUUUACCAAUGGAUUGGCUGUGAGAGAAAGGAGAGGCAGAGGCCACUCCAAGACUUCUGGUCUGGCAACAGGACGAAUGGAGUCGUCAUUUCCUAACAUGGGGACCACUGCCCACGCGCAAGUGGCAACGUCAACCGGCACCUGGGCCUGAAGUCUGGGGAGAGACCUGGGUGAGGAUGUAAACCUGGGCUUCAGCAGCAACUGUUUAAAACAUAUUUAAAAUCCUGGGAUGGAUGAGAUCACCUAGGGAGUACGGACAGAGAAGGGACCAGACCCAAGAACUGAGCUCGGGACACGCCAAUGUUCUGGGAAGAGGAGGAGGAAUCUAUAGAGAAGACUGAGAAGGAACAGCCAGGGGAGUGGGGGAAGCUCCUGAAUAAGUCGCAGCUAAUAUUAUGAAUGUUCACUUUAAGGCAAAACCCAACAAAGCCCCUACCUCAAAAUUCUGUUUGACAAUCCUCACGUCUCUGUAGUUGAACAAAAUGGAGGAAUAACGGACGCCCUAUACGAUAAGCAUGAUCACCGAGUAGUCACCUUACAAGCAGACACAGAGACAGUCACCAUGAAAUUUUAACUAUGCAUAUUGAAAAACAUAGUUCAAGAACGAGGAGAAAAAGGACGGUGGGAAUUCUCAUCUAUGUUUAAGAAACAGGCCCCACAUUAUUGCAAAGGGUUUUUGAACAGAGACAAAGACAUUUUUCUUAUGUUCACCACGUUUAUGAUCAACAGUCAACAUGGUUAUUAAGCCAUGAACAAGGCCCACACAAUUUCAUGAUCUUCAACAAAUGUCUAGCAGAAAUCACUGCCAUCCCCCCCCCCUCCACGCCCUGCCCCCAUCCUGGCCGUCUGAGCUCACCAGCGGCUGGCCCGGCUCCAAGGAUUAAGUAACCAGGUGAUCUCCACAACAACCCCACGAGAGAGCUCCAUUUUACACGGGGAGGAAAUGACGCCACAGAGACAUUCAGUGACGACCCAACAUCACAUGGCUAGAAUCGGCCAAGCAAGGCACUGAACCCUAGCCGUCUGGCUCCAGGUCUGCUUAGGAGCUGGGUUGAUUAUGAUGGUGAUGAGAAUGACGUCAAUCACUACUCCUGUAACUACAUACAGCACCACCAGUUAAAUUAAUUUUAAUUAAAAGUCAAUAUAAUUUACAUAAUUAAUAACACUAUAGACCACAUUAGUAUAAACUCAUGCUCAUCUUUUAAUUCAAUUGCCAACCGAAAUGGAUUGUGUAUGUCACUUUUAUCAGAAUCGAGCAACUGUUUUGUCUCAAUGCACAGACACAAUGAAAAGAUUAAAUGGAGGAAAAAUCAACUGCAUAGAUUGGGAUUAGGGAACAAAGUAAAAUACCAAGAUAAACUGCUUUUAAAAUCAGCUGAAGAUUUAAUGCAGCUCUGGAAAGUUUCGAUUAUUUGCACGCUUGGUCUAUGCCGUGUAAAUCUGGGCUAAUGAGAUUCAACUGCUGUGUAUAAAUCUGAAGCAGGACAACCCGACUGUCUAAAGAAAAUAGCAGCUUGGACUCCUGUGUUAAUAACUCUUCAGAACAAAGAUUAUGAUUCGGGAAGAGUAACAUCAUUUUUGCUUCACAUUAUUGAUUGCAGGGGGUAUUGAGAGAAAUGGCUCCAUUUGGUCAAAUCUAAGCUCUGAGACAAGUGCCAGGGCGUCAAAGAAUCUACUGAUCAGUAUUACUGUUCUUCUAAUAACAAGACCAACAAUGACAAUUUAUUUAUUUAUAAUUUUAUUUAUUUAUUUAUUUUUGGCUGCAUUGGGUCUUUGCUGCUGCACGCAGGCUUCCUCUAGUUGCGGUGAGCGGGGGCUACUCUUUCUUGUGGUGCGCGGGCUUCUCGUUGCAGUGGCUUCUCUUGUUGCAGAGCACGGGCUCUACGCGCAUGGGCUUCAGUAGUUGUGGCACAUGGACUCAGUAGUUGUGGCUCGCAGGCUCUAGAGCACAGGCUCAGUAGUUGUGGCGCACGGGCUUAGUUGCUCCGCGGCAUGUGGGAACUUCCCAGACCAGGGCUCGAACCCGUGUCCCCUGCAUUGGCAGGUGGAUUCUUAACCACUGUGCCACCAGGGAAGCCCAACAACAACAAUUUACAUUGUCUCUUUGCCUAUGGAAAUUAUGAAGCACCAAGAGAACGCUUCUCCUUUGUAAAGUCCCCCGUGUCUAGUACCAAGGGCUACGCAGUGCUACGCACGGGGGUGGAUCACCAUAGAUCCUCACAGGUACCUGGCCGGGUGGCGCACUUCCCCUUAGGCUCUUCAUAAAGGUUUUGUGCACAGUGGUACAUGAUUAUAGGUACUGUUAAAUGCAUCUUAAAGCAAAGUGAUCCACUUAAGAUCAGUCCAGCACACUGCUGCACUCUUUUUAACACAGGCAUAAACAGGACUUCAGGAGCACAAAGGAUGGAACUAUCUCGGCCUGAAGAAGUAAGGGUGGGCUUCUUGAAAGGUAACAUUAGACCCCAAUCUCAAAGAAGGCGCAGCAGUUUUGCCAGAAGGGGCAGGAGCUGGACAAGGACACCACAGAGGGCAAAGCAGGCACAAAGCACAGAAGCAAACGGGCACGGAGUGUUUGGGGAAUCUUGUGGUUUCUAAGGAGCCCCUGGAAACGAGGAGGUAUUGAGGGUGGAGAGCCACUGGCAUUUAGCAUUCUGGGGUCAGGGAUGCUAAUCCUUCUGCAAGACACCACCAGCUCCAUACAAGGAGAGACUGUCCCAUUCAAAAUGCCAGGAGUGCCUCCACUGAGAAACACGAGAGGGUACCCAGGUGGUGGUGGGAGGUAAUAAGAGGGGAAGAGGUUGGAAAGGAAAACCGAGGCCGGGUUCUAAAGACCGCCCACAUACACCUCCCUAAGGAGGAGGGCUUUACCCUGCAAGCAAAGGAGUAGGAGACUGGCUUGGGGAGACCUGUCCUUUGGAAUGAGCACUAAGUAUGGAAGAUGGAAUGGAGGCAGAGCGUCCAGAAACAAGGAGACCAGGGGAUCAGCUAGGUGGCUGCAGCAAGAAUUCCGGCAACAGAGAUAAGUGAUGGAGCAGAGAGCUACCAAAUUGGGAGCAGGUAUAAGACAAGAAGCCUGGAACUCAGGUACCCUGGAAACAGACCCAACACUUUCGCCAUUGAAUAGAACUGAAUUAAGCCACACACACAAAAAAGAUAGUUGUGGUUUUACUACUGCUUUUUAAGGUAACUGUGCAUUUACUCAACCCCUUUUUCUGAAUUCUGAAAACAGUUUUACCCCGCCUCAAAAAGGCAAGUACCACAGGUUUCCACCAGACAUUAAUUUCAUAAAUCAAUUAAUAAUAUUUAAAGCUAAAAUCCAAUGAAACUCCUUUGGAGUUCAAAUAGCUUUCUCCAACAUUUAAAUUCACUAUUAUAAAUGCUAGCCUAAUGAAAUAUACCUGGUAGAGUUGGUGGAAUGUGCUUCCCAAGUUUGGGGGGAUAAACGCAAUUGAGACGUGUUGAGGGAAACUAGAGGUCUGCAUCAUGGGCUUCCAAGGCACCAUUAGAAAUGACAGACCCCAGGAAUUAUUGGCAUAUUAGCAUCGAGGGGGGUGGUGGGGGCGGUUCUGGGAUGCCUAACUAGGUUAUCCUUAAGUUAGACUCAAAAGUUUUAGGGAAUCUGAGGGACACUAUCAAUUACCACUUAGCCCUAAACACACAUUCAUGUAACAAGUGUCCCACUGCCUCUGGGAGCAACUGUCUUGAACCAAUAGGUAAAUAAACUAAAGAAACAACAUAUACCUAGUAAAUGGUAUUUGUAAAAAAGGAAAGGGGGGAAGGAAGGGAAGGAGGG
This is a long non-coding RNA of Orcinus orca (killer whale), 6508 nucleotides long. RefSeq lists it as uncharacterized. The record is from RefSeq and is a predicted model, not a curated record. The transcript is spliced from 4 exons. Lineage: Eukaryota; Metazoa; Chordata; Mammalia; Artiodactyla; Delphinidae.